Non-coding RNA from Myotis brandtii (Brandt's bat), 126 nucleotides. The record is from Rfam. NCBI's taxonomy places the organism in Eukaryota, Metazoa, Chordata, Mammalia, Chiroptera, Vespertilionidae.
UCCCAGUGAGGAAACAUUCACAUGUCUUACCUCCUGUCCUGGUCCCAGAGCCUAUAAUGGUGACCCCACUGGGGCUGGCUGGGGGAGAAGAGGAAAGUUUGUUUCAGGAAAAAAAAGAUAUGGAGU